UGUAAGCGUAUACCAAAGUUGUUGCAGUUAAAACGCUCGUAGUCGGACUUUGGCAGUUCCGGAUGUGUGCACGUCGUGUGCGCACUUCGCGGGGAUUGCUUUUGUGGUCUUGCGUAGGAUGAGGCACUUUUAUUAGUGAACGUCCUCACGCAACCACUUUUUACUGUGAGAAAAUCAGAGUGCUCAAAGCAGGCAUUUGCCGUGAAUGUAUUAGCAUGGAAUAAUAGAAUGGGACUUGGUUCUAUUUUGUUGGUUUGUUGGGACUGAGUAAUGAUUAAGAGGGACAGUUGGGGGCAUUUGUAUUUCGGUGCUAGAGGUGAAAUUCUUAGAUUACCGAAAGACAAACUGCUGCGAAAGCGUCUGCCAAGGAUGUUUUCAUUGA
RNAcentral lists this ribosomal RNA (382 nucleotides) under uncultured eukaryote. RNAcentral's name for it is "partial 18S ribosomal RNA". It matches the Rfam family "Eukaryotic small subunit ribosomal RNA", at positions 592 to 976 of the family's 1831-position model. The record is from RNAcentral.